Molecule: unclassified non-coding RNA, 355 nt
Filed under: soil metagenome
Description: partial contains 5.8S ribosomal RNA, internal transcribed spacer 2, and large subunit ribosomal RNA
Rfam family: 5.8S ribosomal RNA (bases 1-120)
Source: RNAcentral
GAUGAAGAACGUAGUGAAAUGCGAUACGUAAUGUGAAUUGCAGAAUUCAGUGAAUCAUCGAAUCUUUGAACGCACAUUGCGCCCAUUAGUAUUCUAGUGGGCAUGCCUGUUCGAGCGUCAUUAAGUCCACUUAAGCCCUGCUUAGUGUUGGGAGACUGCUCCAGCGGUGCUACCCUGUAGCUACCCUGCAGCUCCUCAAAGACAGCGGCGGAGUUGUGGUAUCCUCUGAGCUUAGUAACUUGUUCUAGCUUUCGAGUACACCACUUCCCCUGCCGUAAAACCCUUAAUUUUUAAUGGUUGACCUCGGAUCAGGUAGGAAUACCCGCUGAACUUAAGCAUAUCAAUAAGCGGAGGA